Dendrobium catenatum is the source of this 371-nucleotide long non-coding RNA. RefSeq lists it as uncharacterized. The transcript is spliced from 3 exons. The record is from RefSeq and is a predicted model, not a curated record. NCBI's taxonomy places the organism in Eukaryota, Viridiplantae, Streptophyta, Magnoliopsida, Asparagales, Orchidaceae.
GCUUCCUUCAAGCUGAGGAAGUGGUGCUCGAUUUAUAAGAGCGUGGCUUUUCUCAUAGGCAAUUGGAGUUGUGAAACUCACUACUACACUUUUGUCUUCAGGAGCUGGAAGGGCGAGUCUUGCACUGCAACACCAUUCCUCUGUCCGCUGGUCAAGCUUGCAAAGUCGAGGCCAAAGGUACUUCUGAAUGGUCGCUAACACGGGAUACCUACACAAGAAAAAGAACCAAAGCUCCAAAAGGUGCAGUUGAAGGGAUUCAGGCAAUGGUUGGAGUGGAACCCAUCCAAGCCUUACACAUAUGCGACCAACAUUGGUGUCAACCUUGUUAGUCAUGUAAAAGGAUGGUAUGGCAAGUUAAUUUGAAAUAUGCA